This is a long non-coding RNA of Pygocentrus nattereri (red-bellied piranha), 243 nucleotides long. RefSeq lists it as uncharacterized. NCBI's taxonomy places the organism in Eukaryota, Metazoa, Chordata, Actinopteri, Characiformes, Serrasalmidae. The record is from RefSeq and is a predicted model, not a curated record. The transcript has 3 exons.
AGGAUGAUGAUGAAACAAUCUCUGCUGCCUCAGAAUGGGAGGAUCCUGGGAGGCCUAUGGAGAAUGUGACUGGUGAUCAGGAAUCUGAUGAGGAACCAUCCACCUCCAAAGCUCAGCUUGGAACAAUGGCUGUUAAAGAUUUAUACAAGGUUCACCUAAAAAAACAAAUUGACAAGUGUGAUCUUCAAAAGGAACACAUAAAACAGACAAGACUGGAAAUUGAGUUGCUGGAAUAUAAAUUAA